This 490-nucleotide ribosomal RNA is filed under the name uncultured bacterium. RNAcentral's name for it is "partial 16S ribosomal RNA". It matches the Rfam family "Bacterial small subunit ribosomal RNA", at positions 29 to 507 of the family's 1533-position model. The record is from RNAcentral.
AAUGAACGCUGGCGGCAUGCCUAACACAUGCAAGUCGAACGGCAGCAUGACCUAGCUUGCUAGGUUGAUGGCGAGUGGCGAACGGGUGAGUAAUGCAUCGGAACGUGCCUUUUAGUGGGGGAGAACGUAGCGAAAGUUACGCUAAUACCGCAUAUUCUCUGAGGAGGAAAGCAGGGGAGCUUCGGGCCUUGCGCUAGAAGAGCGGCCGAUGUCGGAUUAGCUAGUUGGGGAGGUAAAGGCUCACCAAGGCAACGAUCCGUAGCGGGUCUGAGAGGAUGAUCCGCCACACUGGGACUGAGACACGGCCCAGACUCCUACGGGAGGCAGCAGUGGGGAAUUUUGGACAAUGGGCGCAAGCCUGGUCCAGCCAUGCCGCGUGAGUGAAGAAGGCCUUCGGGUUGUAAAGCUCUUUCGGCUGGGAAGAAAUCGCACCCUCUAAUACAGGGUGUGGAUGACGGUACCAGCAUAAGAAGCACCGGCUAACUACGUG